RNAcentral lists this long non-coding RNA (199 nucleotides) under Elaeis guineensis (African oil palm). RNAcentral describes it as "long non-coding RNA (EGUI_LNC048645)". Lineage: Eukaryota; Viridiplantae; Streptophyta; Magnoliopsida; Arecales; Arecaceae. The record is from RNAcentral.
GUGUCCCAGGUGGCAUCCUCAGCUUGAUAGUUUUUCUGACUCGAUUAUCAACCAAGCCUUCUUCGCAGAGGAUGCCAUGACAUUCCGAUGAAUGGUUCUCUUUAAUUAAUCAAUUUCCAUUUAAGCCUCGCAAAAUGCCUUCUUGAUCUUCAACAUCUCUUCUUCUGAGCAGUAGCCUUCUUAUUCAAUUUCUUGACCC